Molecule: non-coding RNA, 194 nt
Organism: Caenorhabditis elegans
Lineage: Eukaryota; Metazoa; Nematoda; Chromadorea; Rhabditida; Rhabditidae
Source: Ensembl
UUCUAAUGUUCUCCGAAUCAAAAAACUAUUCUACAAUUAAUUGAAGUACAGUUUUGCCGAAAACUGACAUGUUUGAGAGUGAGAGAGGGAGAUGAGAGGGGCCUGUUGUUGCGCCUCGCCCGAAGAGGUAGAUUCACACAUGCAGACAGAUUGCAUACACGCAAUCAAACUAGCUUUAUCUCUAUUGAUAUACA